UAUGCUAGAGCAAUCUUCAGAUGGUCUUUCUGGCAAUUGCGCCAGGCACAGGAACUCAGGUCAUGGGUUUUAACGUUUCUCUUAAACUUUCUAGAAUCUCUCAAAAGCUUGUGUUGCAAGAUUGGGGGUUUUGAUGUUGUGGUUUUGACCAUGGCGGUGCUGUAAUGUUUUGAUUUUUGUUAUCCUCCACCUUUGAACUCGGUAGCUUGAUUGUAUUUAUUCUGUUGCAGAAAUGCUGGUGAGGGAGUGAUGGGCUUUGCUUAAGAGAAGCAGUUCAUCUUCUGAUGCCUGUGGGGGAUUUAAUGUUCUGAUGACUAUGAGAUUGGCCAUUAUUCUUUUGCAUAUAUUAUAGGUUGAUUUAUUGUUGAUAUGUUUGAUUGCCUGCCAUGAAGUUUUAGGUUUAAGAUGAAGAUUGUUAUCCUAUUUAUAUCCUUCUCAAAGUCUCGUUCACUAUUAUCAAUUCUCUGAGUUGAUGUUAUGUGUAACUGUGCAAUUGAUUGCAAGUUGUUUUCAGUAGUCACUGAAGAGACUUUUUUGGAUCUUCUUUUGAAAUUAUAGAUUCCUGGAAAUUAUUUUUUCCCAAUUAAAUCCUUUUGCAUUUCCUGCAUUAUUUACUUUGCACUUUCAUACUUUCCUUACAAGCACUUACAUUUUCUAAAGAGAAACUCUAUAUGGUUUGCAUAUAGUGUCUUAUUUACUGAGCUUUUCCAAGUGUGAGACUCUAGAGCCCAAGCAUUCUCUAUGCAUUGAUAAGUUCUGAUUGGCUUGCAUAUUGUGCAAGUCCACUUUUUUGUGUUACCUGAGUACAAUGUGAUGUCACUAGUAUGAGUUUACAAAUGAAAAUGGGACCGUAGACCAAAUUUUGAGGUCUCAGUUUUGUUCUAUCUGCGUUGUGGAACAUGAACUUUUAACAGGUUCCAAAUUAAUGCAAUUAGGUCCUUGGGUACUGCCGUCAAUACAACAUCAUGAUGCUGUUUCAUUUAUGAUUAAGUUGUUCCCAAUUUUUUCAUUACCUUUAAUUGCCACAUCUUUCUCCAGGUUGCUCCUUAUCAUAUUUUAAGAUGAAACAGUCGUUUGAUUCACCGUCUGCCUGCAUUGUAUUGCUGGUUCCGUUGGCAGUACUGCUGUCAAUAACUCUGGCCUUACUUUACCACUGGCACCUAUCCUAGGAGCUGCUCCUGUGGUACCUCCAGUUGUUGCUCCCUCCGCUUCUUUUCCUGCUCUUGCUGGACUUGGCGCAGGUCUUCAAGUUCCCACUGCUGCUGUGCCAACUAUUGAUACAAUUCGUGUUCCGACUCCCGAGUGAGAGUGUUUAUUACUGAAGGAUAUGUUUGAUCCAAAAGUUGAGACGGAGCCAGAUUUUGAUUUGGAUAUCAAAGAUGUUCAGGAAGAAUGUAACAUAUUUUGUGGAGAAAUGAGUUUAGUGUGCAGCUUUUUUUUUUUUUUUUUUUGUCUUCUAUUUUCCCUUGAUACUUGUCUGUUUUUACGGGAUUCAUUGAGAAGUUAUAGCCCAAUUUGUUAUGGGGUGGGAUAGGUGAAGACUUCCAAGUAUCAUUUAGUGAAUUGGUCAAAGGUUUGCACUCCGAUUAUUGAGAGAGGAUUGGGUAUCAUAAAUUUAAUGAUGUUCAACCGUGCUCUUUUAGAGAAAUAGUUGUGGCGCUAUGGGAGUGAGAGAGAUGACAACAUGACAACAUAAAGAUUAAAAUGUGUUUGCCUUUGUGUUGCCAUAUAUUGUUUUUUAUGCAUUUUUGUUAAUUGUGACAUUAUUAGUGUUGUGAUACAGGACAUUGUGUGUUAGUCUUGGUGGGCUUCAUAUGAAUAUGUAGUGAUCACUAUUUAUGUUAUUUGUGUGUUACACUUGCAAUCUAUUUGCCUAAAUCACAUGAUUGUAAGUACUUAUUACAUGUCAAAAAAUAAAAAUAAAAAUAAAGGACUUAUUAGAUGUCGUCAUGCAUCCUAUUAGUGUAUUUUUAACUUGUUAUUUGCAAACACAUUUGGAUCAGGUCAUGUUUUGGGAUGCCUAUUUGUUUUUGUUUUGUAGUUAAAUUAUUUAUGUUGUCCAAGUGAGAGAUUAUUGUGUUUAUUUUAUUUUUCUUUGGGUGAACUAACAUAGUCAUUUUAUUAUUGGGUCCAUAAUAAGCUGGACCAUUCUGUAAGCACUUGAGAAAACCCGCAUUCUCACCUUAAAUAUAAAUGAAGUUGACCCAUUAUACUUUAUUAGAUCAUCAGUAAAAUUUUAGGAUUAAGGUAUUAGUCUAGCUCCUUCACACACACAUAAACAGGGACGCCAUGAUCAUGUAGAGAGAUGGAAACAUGUCGUCAUAGUAAUGAGGUACGUUUCACUUGUUCUUCACAUGUUAUGUAGA
Corylus avellana is the source of this 2366-nucleotide non-coding RNA. Lineage: Eukaryota; Viridiplantae; Streptophyta; Magnoliopsida; Fagales; Betulaceae. The record is from RefSeq and is a predicted model, not a curated record.